Molecule: long non-coding RNA, 1930 nt
Organism: Homo sapiens (human)
Lineage: Eukaryota; Metazoa; Chordata; Mammalia; Primates; Hominidae
Source: Ensembl
ACUAUUUCUCCUGUAGCUCUUCAGGCAAGCUGAAUUGAACUCAUGUUGCUUUUUCCCUUUUUGUUUCAGCUCAGUUUGCAGGGGAAGACCCAGUGGUAGCUUUGGAAGCUGCUUUGCAGUUUGAAGACACCCGGGAAUCCAUGCACGCAUUUUGUGUUGGCCAGUAUUUGGAGCCUGACCAAGAAAUCGUCACCAUACCAGAUCUGGGGAGUCUCUCUUCACCUCUGAUAGACACAGAGAGGAAUCUGGGCCUGCUUCUCGGAUUACACGCUUCCUAUUUGGCAAUGAGCACACCGCUGUCUCCUGUCGAGAUUGAAUGUGCCAAAUGGCUUCAGUCAUCCAUCUUCUCUGGAGGCCUGCAGACCAGCCAGAUCCACUACAGCUACAACGAGGAGAAAGACGAGGACCACUGCAGCUCCCCAGGGGGCACACCUGCCAGCAAAUCUCGACUCUGCUCCCACAGACGGGCCCUGGGGGACCAUUCCCAGGCAUUUCUGCAAGCCAUUGCAGACAACAACAUUCAGGAUCACAACGUGAAGGUGAGCUAGGCCUGCCCCCACUGCCACCUCAGUGCUCUGUUUAUCUGAGGACUUUGACAUAGGAAUACUUAUGUGCUCUUUGGUUAACACAGCACAGACUUUGUUUCAUGUAUUAUUUGGAGGGUUUUGAGGUGAGAACCUGAUUGUGUUAACAUGCUAGCGAGGCUUCAGAAGCAUUAGUGAUUGCAAGUGCGUCAGAAGCUGUGGCAUGUUUAAGAUUUGUGAAGACUCACUGGGUUUCCCUGAAGUUACUUCCAGCUGUUCCUGUUGCAGGACUUUUUGUGUCAAAUAGAAAGGUACUGUAGGCAGUGCCAUUUGACCACACCGAUCAUGUUUCCCCCCGAGCAUCCCGUGGAAGAGGUCGGUCGCUUGCUGUUAUGUUGCCUCUUAAAACAUGAAGAUUUAGGUCAUGUGGCAUUAUCUUUAGUUCAUGCAGGUGCACUUGGUAUUGAGCAAGUAAAGCACAGAACGUUGCCUAAGUCAGUGGUGGAUGUUUGUAGAGUUGUCUACCAAGCAAAAUGUUCGCUCAUUAAGACUCAUCAAGAACAGGACCGUUCUUACAAGGAGGUCUGCGCUCCUGUCAUCGAACGUUUGAGAUUCCUCUUUAAUGAAUUGAGACCUGCUGUUUGUAAUGACCUCUCUAUAAUGUCUAAGUUUAAAUUGUUAAGUUCUUUGCCCCAUUGGAGGAGGAUAGCUCAGAAGAUAAUUCGAGAACCAAGGAAAAAGAGAGUUCCUAAGAAGCCAGAAUCUACGGAUGAUGAAGAAAAAAUUGGAAACGAAGAGAGUGAUUUAGAAGAAGCUUGCAUUUUGCCUCAUAGUCCAAUAAAUGUGGACAAGAGACCCAUUGCAAUUAAAUCACCCAAGGACAAAUGGCAGCCGCUGUUGAGUACUGUUACAGGUGUUCACAAAUACAAGUGGUUGAAGCAGAAUGUGCAGGGUCUUUAUCCGCAGUCUCCACUCCUCAGUACAAUUGCUGAAUUUGCCCUUAAAGAAGAGCCAGUGGAUGUGGAAAAGAGAAAGUGCCUACUAAAACAGGUAACAUUUGAUGAGAAAUGCUUCUCUGCAUUGGGUAAUAUACAUAACACUUAACUGUAUGCAUUGAUAUUUUGCAGUUGGAGAGAGCAGAGGUUCGCCUGGAAGGGAUAGAUACAAUUUUAAAAUUGUAUCUGGUGAGCAAGAAUUUCUUACUUCCAUCUGUGCCAUAUGCAAUGUUUUGUGGAUGGCAAAGACUUAUUCCUGAGGGAAUCGAUAUAGGGGAACCUCUUACUGAUUGUUUAAAGGAUGUUGAUUUGAUCCCGCCUUUUAAUCGGAUGCUGCUGGAAGUCACCUUUGGCAAGCUGUACGCUUGGGCUGUUCAGAACAUUCGAAAUGUUUUGGUGGAUGCCAGUGCC